RNAcentral lists this transfer RNA (72 nucleotides) under Dallia pectoralis (Alaska blackfish). RNAcentral describes it as "tRNA-OTHER". Lineage: Eukaryota; Metazoa; Chordata; Actinopteri; Esociformes; Umbridae. The record is from RNAcentral.
GUUGGUGUAGCUCAUUGGUAGAGUGCAUGCUCUGUAUGUAUUAUGUCCUCGGUUCAAUCCCCAGCUGCUCCC